AGUGAACGCUGGCGGUAGGCCUAACACAUGCAAGUUGAACGGCAGCACAGUAAGAGCUUGCUCUUACGGGUGGCGAGUGGCGGACGGGUGAGGAAUACAUCGGAAUCUACUUUUUCGUGGGGGAUAACGUAGGGAAACUUACGCUAAUACCGCAUACGACCUACGGGUGAAAGCAGGGGAUCUUCGGACCUUGCGCGAUUGAAUGAGCCGAUGUCGGAUUAGCUAGUUGGCGGGGUAAAGGCCCACCAAGGCGACGAUCCGUAGCUGGUCUGAGAGGAUGACCAGCCACACUGGAACUGAGACACGGUCCAGACUCCUACGGGAGGCAGCAGUGGGGAAUAUUGGACAAUGGGCGCAAGCCUGAUCCAGCCAUACCGCGUGGGUGAAGAAGGCCUUCGGGUUGUAAAGCCCUUUUGUUGGGAAAGAAAAGCAGCAGGUUAAUACCCCGCUGUUCUGACGGUACCCAAAGAAUAAGCACCGGCUAACUUCGUG
This 492-nucleotide ribosomal RNA is filed under the name uncultured bacterium. Its description in RNAcentral is "partial 16S ribosomal RNA". It matches the Rfam family "Bacterial small subunit ribosomal RNA", at positions 29 to 507 of the family's 1533-position model. The record is from RNAcentral.